GAAUUAAUGUAGAGUUUGGUUGUAGCUGGCUCCUAAUUAAACUUGGGGGCAUGUGCACACCUUUCUCUUUCAUCCCAUACACACCUGUGCACCUGUGAGACAGAUGUUUUGUGGGGGGGAAGGAACUUUAUUGGACCUUCUACUCCCCCUUGACUUCUGUCUACUUAAUUCAUAUAAACUCAAUUUAUUUUAAAACGGAUGUAAUGGAUGUAACACAUCUAAUACUAAGUUUCAACAACGGAUCUCUUGGCUCUCGCAUCGAUGAAGAACGCAGCGAAAUGCGAUAAGUAAUGUGAAUUGCAGAAUUCAGUGAAUCAUCGAAUCUUUGAACGCACCUUGCGCUCCUUGGUAUUCCUUGGAGCAUGCCUGUUUGAGUAUCAUGAAAUCUUCAAAGUCAAACCUUUUGUUAAUUCAAUUGGUUCUGCUUUGGUAUUGGAGGAUUAUUGCAGCUUCACACCUGCUCCUCUUUGUGCAUUAGCUGGAUCUCAGUGUUAUGCUUGGUUCCACUCAGCGUGAUAAGUUAUCUAUCGCUGAGGACACCCUGUUAAAAAGGGGUGGCCAAGGUAAAUGCAGAUGAACCGCUUCUAAUAGUCCAUUGACUUGGACAAUAUCUAAUUUAUGAUCUGAUCUCAAAUCAGGUAGGACUACCCGCUGAACUUAAGCAUAUCAAUAAGNCGGAGGAA
This 683-nucleotide small RNA is filed under the name Rhizoctonia solani. RNAcentral describes it as "eukaryotic LSU rRNA". The stretch from base 227 to 380 matches the Rfam family "5.8S ribosomal RNA". Lineage: Eukaryota; Fungi; Basidiomycota; Agaricomycetes; Cantharellales; Ceratobasidiaceae. The record is from RNAcentral.